Molecule: ribosomal RNA, 253 nt
Filed under: uncultured bacterium
Lineage: Bacteria
Description: partial 16S ribosomal RNA
Rfam family: Bacterial small subunit ribosomal RNA
Source: RNAcentral
UACGUAGGUGGCAAGCGUUGUCCGGAUUUACUGGGCGUAAAGAGCGCGCAGGCGGUCGUUCAAGUCGCGUGUGAAAGCCCCCGGCUCAACUGGGGAGGGUCACGCGAUACUGAUCGACUCGAAGGCAGGAGAGGGUAGCGGAAUUCCCGGUGUAGUGGUGAAAUGCGUAGAUAUCGGAAGGAACAUCAGUGGCGAAAGCGACUUCCUGGACCAGUACCGACGUUCAGGCACGAAAGCGUGGGGAGCAAACAGG